UCGCAUGAUGACAACACUACAUUAGUUUAUAAUUUUAUUUCUGGUACCUCUUAUGUCAGUUGCUCUCAUCCAUGGUUUGUCCUACCGGUCGAACAUGUUUGUUGGUGACGAUGAUCUAACUGGACUUCUGAUC
Molecule: small nucleolar RNA, 133 nt
Filed under: Phaeomoniella chlamydospora
Lineage: Eukaryota; Fungi; Ascomycota; Eurotiomycetes; Phaeomoniellales; Phaeomoniellaceae
Description: A. fumigatus snoRNA Afu_264
Rfam family: A. fumigatus snoRNA Afu_264
Source: Rfam by way of RNAcentral